Molecule: ribosomal RNA, 840 nt
Filed under: uncultured Bacteroidota bacterium
Lineage: Bacteria; Pseudomonadati; Bacteroidota
Description: bacterial SSU rRNA
Rfam family: Bacterial small subunit ribosomal RNA
Source: RNAcentral
AAGUCGAGGGGCAGCGGGAUUGAAGCUUGCUUCAAUUGCCGGCGACCGGCGCACGGGUGGGUAACGCGUAUCCAACCUUCCGUACACUCAGGGAUAGCCUUUCGAAAGAAAGAUUAAUACCUGAUGGUAUGAUGAGAUUGCAUGAUAGCAUCAUUAAAGAUUUAUCGGUGUACGAUGGGGAUGCGUUCCAUUAGGUAGUAGGCGGGGUAACGGCCCACCUAGCCAACGAUGGAUAGGGGUUCUGAGAGGAAGGUCCCCCACAUUGGAACUGAGACACGGUCCAAACUCCUACGGGAGGCAGCAGUGAGGAAUAUUGGUCAAUGGACGAGAGUCUGAACCAGCCAAGUAGCGUGAAGGAUGAAGGUCCUACGGAUUGUAAACUUCUUUUAUAAGGGAAUAAACCCUCCCACGUGUGGGAGCUUGUAUGUACCUUAUGAAUAAGCAUCGGCUAACUCCGUGCCAGCAGCCGCGGUAAUACGGAGGAUGCGAGCGUUAUCCGGAUUUAUUGGGUUUAAAGGGAGCGCAGACGGGUCGUUAAGUCAGCUGUGAAAGUUUGGGGCUCAACCUUAAAAUUGCAGUUGAUACUGGCGUCCUUGAGUGCGGUUGAGGUGUGCGGAAUUCGUGGUGUAGCGGUGAAAUGCUUAGAUAUCACGAAGAACUCCGAUUGCGAAGGCAGCACACUAAUCCGUAACUGACGUUCAUGCUCGAAAGUGUGGGUAUCAAACAGGAUUAGAUACCCUGGUAGUCCACACGGUAAACGAUGGAUACUCGCUGUUGGCGAUAUACUGUCAGCGGCUUAGCGAAAGCGUUAAGUAUCCCACCUGGGGAGUACGCCGGCAA